Molecule: unclassified non-coding RNA, 481 nt
Filed under: Hevea brasiliensis (rubber tree)
Lineage: Eukaryota; Viridiplantae; Streptophyta; Magnoliopsida; Malpighiales; Euphorbiaceae
Source: RNAcentral
UGUCUAACUACCCCCUACUGUUAACAAGUCUGUUAAUUAGCUAACGAAAACACCAUGCCAAACGUCUUCCACUCCUAAUUAACUCAAUGUAAACCCUAAUUAAUUAAGUCCAAUUAUAAGCUCAAAUUCUUAAUUUACACAAAAACAAUUUGCGUUUCACAUCAGUUGGCAGCAUUAUGGGCGAGGACUGAUCUUUAGCUGCAUAUGUUGGCCUGAUCAAGCUCUUCAUCCACGACACCUCUUCCUUUGGACUGAUAUUCCUUUUAUUUUAUUUUUUUUUAUUUCAAUUAGUUAGACUUAAUUUGGGGUUAAUUGGAUUAAUUAUGAGGUGAAGGACAUUUGAUGUGGUGUUUUCAUUAGCUCUCAACAACUUUGUUGACAAUAGGGUAUAAUUAAAAUAAGAUAAAAGUACAUAAUUUAAUAAAUUUUUUAAUUUACAAUAAAAUUGUGAAACUUUUAAAAGUUGAUUUUUUUUUUUUUA